GAGCUCGCUUCAGCAGCACAUAUACUAAAACGGGAACAACACAGAGAAGAUUAGCAUGGUCCCUGCACAAGGACAACAAGCACAUUCAUGAAGAGUUCCAUAUUCAU
This is a small nuclear RNA of Prolemur simus (greater bamboo lemur), 107 nucleotides long. Lineage: Eukaryota; Metazoa; Chordata; Mammalia; Primates; Lemuridae. The record is from Ensembl.